AGUGUAGGUAGAGGUGCGAGCUUCAAAAGUAGUGGUUCUGAGAAGGAUGAGCUUCGAAGAAGAAUCAUGAAAGGGGAUGUUCGCCGAAGUGAAGAAAGUCUCAUUCUUUCUUUUGCUGGUCCUGUGUUGAAUAAAUACCGGAUUGUCAAGACUAAUAGUACGUCUUGGAGAGCUAUCUUACAU
RNAcentral lists this non-coding RNA (183 nucleotides) under Bacillus sp. (in: firmicutes). RNAcentral describes it as "Bacillus sp. Lysine sequence". It matches the Rfam family "Lysine riboswitch aptamer". From Rfam's summary of the family: Riboswitches are metabolite binding domains within certain messenger RNAs that serve as precision sensors for their corresponding targets. Allosteric rearrangement of mRNA structure is mediated by ligand binding, and this results in modulation of gene expression. The record is from RNAcentral. RNAcentral also lists the same sequence under 1 other name. Lineage: Bacteria; Bacillati; Bacillota; Bacilli; Caryophanales; Bacillaceae.